Castor canadensis (American beaver) is the source of this 802-nucleotide long non-coding RNA. RefSeq lists it as uncharacterized. NCBI's taxonomy places the organism in Eukaryota, Metazoa, Chordata, Mammalia, Rodentia, Castoridae. The record is from RefSeq and is a predicted model, not a curated record.
UUGAGCAAGAGCCUCAGCAUGCCUUGAGCCUUUCCUACAUUCCUUGGGUUCGAUAGCAGGGUUUGCUUUUACUCCUCAGCCAGGGGAUCUGUAUAUCCUAAAGACAUCUGCAGAGCACAGGACAAGCUGUUCCUAUUAGAGAAGCACCGGCUUCCCAGCAGGCCCCUGCUGACAAGGUCUUGAAAAACAAGCUGGAACCUGUCGGAACCCAAGCAAGGACACAUUCAGCUGUCCACUGAGCCGAGAGAAGGGCAAGCAGGUGGCCAGCAAAGGCACCAGGGUGGUGACCUGCUAAGAGACAAGGACAAGACUGAUCGAUAACAUCUUUGCAACAGAAACUGCUCCCCCAGGAAAAGAACAGCAGAGCCUGCGCAGGACAGAACCCCCACCAGGCAGCAGUGACUCUAUCGUAACAAGGGUCCACCCAUCCAAUCCUGAGACAAUGAGCAACCGGACCACCCGUGACCACCAGGUUAGGACCACACCUGUGACAGGGACUGCUUAACAAUUAUGUACUCCUCUCUCUCCCUGUCCCAAUUCUUCCUCUACUUACCCUAAAGCUCACACCUGUGCCCUGAAGAUGGCACAAAGUGCUUAAUUUGCUUCUUCCCAGGGGUUGCCUGCGCUGAGUAAUAAAUUCCCUUCCUUUGCGCUUCACCGUCUCAUGUCUUUCUUUGGUUGUUGGGGCAAGUGGCCGGACCUGACACGUGAAACCCCUGGAGUCAGGCCUCUGGUUACGUCCCACCCUGACCUCUCUGGGUAAAAAGCUGCUGAACAUCUGGUCACCUGGAGCAGGAAGGAG